UCAAAUACAAAAGAGGAAAAUGUAAUUAAUGAACCAGUAAUUUCGGAGUGAUCAUCUUUUCUCUUCCUUAGCUCACAGAUAUUUGCUGCUAUCUGUUUUACGCUUUCACAAUAACUUCCAUUUGCAUCACUCUUUACAUGACUACAUCUGAGAGAAGUGUACGCUUUCUUUAGCUUGCCCAUGGUGAUGUGAAGAUGAGAAGAAAUAGCAAGGCCCAACCAGUUCUUCAUCUGGAGACAGUUCAACGUUCUGCAAACCAGAUCUUCAGGAAUUUUACUGGGAUAAUUAUCCAAAUAAAUUGCAAGCAUUCUAUCCAAAUGGAGCUCUUUCUGAGAUGAAGAGAAUUCUCAAUGUCAAGAUUUGAACAAGAAGAGAAUGGAAUACACAAUAUGGACAUCCAUAAAAAUUCAUCAGAGAGCAUUUUACUACUGAGCUGCAAAGGUAGGAAAAAUAAAUUUUUUUUGGUUAGAAAAUAUACUUCUUUCAUCUGCGUUUCAAUAAUUUAUUCCCCUUGUUAGAUAUACAUGGAAUUGAUAUUGCUUAUUCUGACUAAGUGAAAAGUGUUAUUUCUACUUACUGCUCAAUUAGAAACAUGUAGUGUUUAAUUGUCAGUUUGAAUUUUUCUUUCAUACUAUUACAGUUUAUAUUUUACUAUAGGCAGAAUUUCCUCUUUAUCCUAAAUUUUGAUAUUCUCCAUAAUUUCAUCGUGCCUUGACAUUGCUGUAUAUAAUUUCUAUACAUCAGGAAGGCAAUUCUGUGUGCAUGUGUGUGUGUAUAUAUAUAGUUAGAAGUUAGAAACUGAAACUCUUUUUUGUCUACCAUCAUUUCAUAUUUUUCUUGCUAUUUCAAACCUAUAAUUUUUAAAGAAACGACUAACGUAAUCAUUCAUAGAAUAUGCUGUCAGUAACUUAACAAUAUAAAUGUUAACAUGGAGGCAUUUAGUUCAGCAUUUGCUUUACUUAAUAGAGUGCAGAAAAUGUGGCCCUUUUCUCAGUUAGGGUGUAUGUGAAGAUAAAUUUAGAAUUUCUAGACUAGUAAAUACUUCUCUGAUAAUAACUUAAUUAUAGCUAUUUCAAACCAAAUUGUUUAAUUGUGGUGAAUCAUAUGUAAAUUGUUCAGAUGUAGGUCAACACCCACGCCCACAUUCUAGCACCUCUUUCCUAAUUCAAGACAACUUUGCAGUGCCUAAAAGAGCUGAACAGUGCAGAUUAGAGACAUAAGACAAAAAAAAAAAAAAAA
RNAcentral lists this long non-coding RNA (1239 nucleotides) under Homo sapiens (human). RNAcentral describes it as "mir-99a-let-7c cluster host gene". The record is from RNAcentral. Lineage: Eukaryota; Metazoa; Chordata; Mammalia; Primates; Hominidae.